Molecule: ribosomal RNA, 446 nt
Filed under: uncultured bacterium
Lineage: Bacteria
Description: bacterial SSU rRNA
Rfam family: Bacterial small subunit ribosomal RNA
Source: RNAcentral
AACGAACGCUGGCGGCAUGCCUAACACAUGCAAGUCGAACGAGACCUUCGGGUCUAGUGGCGCACGGGUGCGUAACGCGUGGGAAUCUGCCCUUGGGUUCGGAAUAACAGUUAGAAAUGACUGCUAAUACCGGAUGAUGUCUUCGGACCAAAGAUUUAUCGCCCAGGGAUGAGCCCGCGUAGGAUUAGCUAGUUGGUGGGUAAAGGCCUACCAAGGCGACGAUCCUUAGCUGGUCUGAGAGGAUGAUCAGCCACACUGGGACUGAGACACGGCCAAGACUCCUACGGGAGGCAGCAGUGGGGAAUAUUGGACAAUGGGCGAAAGCCUGAUCCAGCAAUGCCGCGUGAGUGAUGAAGGCCUUAGGGUUGUAAAGCUCUUUUACCCGGGAUGAUAAUGACAGUACCGGGAGAAUAAGCCCCGGCUAACUCCGUGCCAGCAGCCGCGGU